GAUAAACGCUGGCGGCGUGCAUGAGACAUGCAAGUCGAACGAAGGAUCGGGCUUGCUCGAUCCUUAGUGGCGGACGGCUGAGUAACGCGUAGGUGACCUACCCCGAAGUGGGGAAUAACUGCCCGAAAGGGUGGCUAAUACCGCAUGUGGUCGCACGUUCAUUCGUGCGAGUAAAGCCGCAAGGCGCUUCGGGAGGGGCCUGCGUCCGAUUAGCUCGUUGGUAGGGUAAUGGCGUACCAAGGCGACGAUCGGUAGGUGGUCUGAGAGGACGAUCACCCAGACUGGGACUGAGACACGGCCCAGACUCCUACGGGAGGCAGCAGUCGGGAAUUUUGCUCAAUGGGGGAAACCCUGAAGCAGCAACGCCGCGUGAGGGAUGAAGGCCUUCGGGUUGUAAACCUCUUUUGUCAGGGACGAUGAUGACGGUACCUGGCGAAUAAGCCACGGCUAACUACGUG
This 458-nucleotide ribosomal RNA is filed under the name uncultured bacterium. Its description in RNAcentral is "partial 16S ribosomal RNA". It matches the Rfam family "Bacterial small subunit ribosomal RNA", at positions 28 to 507 of the family's 1533-position model. The record is from RNAcentral.